Molecule: RNA transcript, 2398 nt
Organism: Sphaeramia orbicularis (orbiculate cardinalfish)
Lineage: Eukaryota; Metazoa; Chordata; Actinopteri; Kurtiformes; Apogonidae
Gene: pianp
Gene name: PILR alpha associated neural protein
Exons: 6
Source: RefSeq, a predicted model, not a curated record
UAGCAGACUCUACAUGUCUCAGUCGCUAAGGCAACCGAUGCUUUUUUUUCCCUCACUUGUUCGCUGUAUCUCCCCCCUUUCUCUCUGUCUCCCUCUCUCAUUCUCUCUCUCCACUGCCAGAGAGAGAGAUGAUCGAAGGAGCGGAGUCUCAGUGAACACAGCGAAGCGAUGGAGAGAUGCUCCAUCUCUCCUGUCGCACGAGUGACUGCCCUCCACUGCCUUGUCUCCCUCCUUCUGGUUGCUCUGGUGACACAGCCCUCCACCUGUAACCUUGACGACAGUGAGGGCGAGGAGCAGGUGGACGCCCUGUCAGUCCAGCUGUCCGUCACGGCCCAGGUCACACCCACCCCUCUGUGGGCAGUGGUCUGGGGUCCCACACAACCGCUGGAGGAUGAGACCUACCACUUCGUCUCCAGCCAGGAAACUGACCCCCUGCACCAGCACGGAAACCAGCUGGAGGCCGGCACCGCCACAUCUGAGGACUGGCUUCAUCACCCUUUGCCAGGCAGCUUGCAGCCACCAGAGGAGACUCUACUGGAGUCCAAGAACCAGGAGGGAGUGGAGGAUGGAGGAACGGAGGCGGAGGAGACAGAGCCUGAGGAAGUGGACCCUCAGUUCUACGUCACCGUGACCAUCUCUUCACUGCUCAUCCUGACGGCAGUCAUCAUAACAGCCAAACUCUGCACCGCCAGUCCGGCUGCAGAUCCGCAGAUAAUCCUCCAGCUUGCCUUGAGCUGAUACACGAUAAGCCCACUUUCCUCUCUGUUCCUGAGACUGGCCUUCGCUGUUGUUUCGAUAACUUACUUCACGGUGCCCCCUUUGUGGAGAGAAAAGCCCACGUUGCUGCUGAUGUGCCUGUGGAUCCAAAGUGGCCUUACAAAGAUCCCAGUUGUGAACCUCUGAGGUGACUGUUUUUCCAUAUGGUAAACAUUUCUACGGGGCCUGAGGAGAAACAUCAACAUGACCAGAGGGUGUGCCUGCAGCGCCGUUUUAUUUUCUCUCAAACUGUGAAAUGAAUUCAGGGAUCCCAGGUAUCCAGCCAUCACAAAAACUCCUCGGCUUCCCUGAGGUCUCAAAAACCCAAACUCAUCUCCCCACCGCUCGUUCGCUCCCUCCCCUUCCUUCCUCUGUGCUCAGUGUAAAUUUCUUUUAUGUGGCUCUGCGUCACUGUAACCAGCUCCCUGUUUUCCAUCCCCCUGUAUGGCCCCGAGCUCUGCCAAGCUACCCAACCACUAUGUGCUUCGACCUGCCAUGACUAAUUCAGAAACAAGCAGUUUAACAGCCAUGCUACAUCCCAUUACCCCGAAAUGCCCUACCUGUGCUUCCACAGAAGUUUCCAGCGAUUCAGCUUCACAUCUGAAGCUUCUCAGUAUUAUUUGAAUCUAUAAGACUGUUCUUUUGUGAAAAUGACACUAAAAUUCUGUUCAUCUUGGUUUGUAAACAGUUAAAAAGUCAUUUUGAGCAUCUCCAAACACUGAACGGGGUAUUUCACAAAGCUGUUUGGCAUGGUUGUAGCCAACAGGCAAUGUGUUUAACAUGUCACGCUCCAAAAACUGCUGUUUAUUCCCCGCUUUGGGCGCCUGAAAAUGCAAACAGUGUGGCUUGUUUCUCUGCAGAAUGUAGAGGAGCCUGUUUUGUUUCAGUUUUCCUCAUGAUUUGUUCUUUUAAUUAUCUGGCUGAUGUACACCUCUUCUUGAGCACCUUUUGUUCCUGCUGGACCGUGCAGAGGUGUGUUAAGAUUAGAGUACUUCAAGUGAUGGAGAUGAGAUAUUCAGCAUCCAGAAUGAGAGUAUAGGAGGCAUUCCUGUUGAAAAUCAAUGAAUCCCUAAGGUUUUUGGUUGGUGGUGCACAACAAAGACAGAUUUAUGUCAUCAUGGAAAUGAGCAUUGGUGAGCGGCACAACCGAUCAAAGGACUGAUGUUAACACAACAUGGAAUUUAUUCACCUGACAGCAUCUCAAUCCAGUAAACAAAAGCACCAUCAUUAUCCAGUCACUGUAUCAAGGCUGUCUUGUGCGUACCAAAGGAAAAGUAGCACAUCAAGGAGCAUCAUUUCUGCUCAGUGAAUCUGCAUGUAUACAGUAAGAAAACCUGUGAGAGUUGCUUCAGAUCUAUUAUUUAUAAAUGUCUAUUUUAUCAAUCAGUGAGUGAUGUCUUCUAGAACCUCUCAAAGGGUUAAAAAGGGUUUGUGUUUAGCAACUUUUCUAAGCAGCUUUGAGACAUGACCCCCCACCUACACACAUUAACACUACAGACAUAGUGCUGGUGGCAUCAUGUGUGGCUCGUGCAAAUCUUCCAGAUAUCAAGUCUUGUGAUUUUUAGUAGCCUUCCUGUAGAAAUGUGGUCUUAACUGUACCAUGAAAGUUCAAUAAAGACUCAACACUGGCGUUUUAGCUUUG